This 197-nucleotide ribosomal RNA is filed under the name uncultured bacterium. Its description in RNAcentral is "partial 16S ribosomal RNA". It matches the Rfam family "Bacterial small subunit ribosomal RNA", at positions 328 to 539 of the family's 1533-position model. The record is from RNAcentral.
ACGCUCGACACCUACGGAGGCAGCAGUGGGGAAUAUUGCACAAUGGGGGAAACCCUGAUGCAGCGACGCCGCGUGAGUGAAGAAGUAUUUCGGUAUGUAAAGCUCUAUCAGCAGGGAAGAAAAUGACGGUACCUGAGUAAGAAGCCCCGGCUAACUACGUGCCAGCAGUCGCGGUAAUCUGAGCGGGCUGGCAAGGC